This 496-nucleotide ribosomal RNA is filed under the name uncultured bacterium. RNAcentral's name for it is "partial 16S ribosomal RNA". It matches the Rfam family "Bacterial small subunit ribosomal RNA", at positions 29 to 507 of the family's 1533-position model. The record is from RNAcentral.
AUGAACGCUGGCGGCGUGCCUAAUCCAUGCAAGUCGAGCGAACGGACGAGAAGCUUGCUUCUCUGAUGUUAGCGGCGGACGGGUGAGUAACACGUGGAUAACCUACCUAUAAGACUGGGAUAACUUCGGGAAACCGUAGCUAAUACCGGAUAAUAUUUUGAACCGCAUGGUUCAAAAGUGAAAGACGGUCUUGCUGUCACUUAUAGAUGGAUCCGCGCUGCAUUAGCUAGUUGGUAAGGUAACGGCUUACCAAGGCAACGAUGCAUAGCCGACCUGAGAGGGUGAUCGGCCACACUGGAACUGAGACACGGUCCAGACUCCUACGGGAGGCAGCAGUAGGGAAUCUUCCGCAAUGGGCGAAAGCCUGACGGAGCAACGCCGCGUGAGUGAUGAAGGUCUUCGGAUCGUAAAACUCUGUUAUUAGGGAAGAACAUAUGUGUAAGUAACUGUGCACAUCUUGACGGUACCUAAUCAGAAAGUCACGGCUAACUACGUG